CCGGGAGUUAAGCAGCAAAGGCAGAAGUGGCAGUAUGGAAGGCUAGACAUCAACACUAUCCAACUAGCCAAAUGCUGCUCGAUUUGAAUUUGGGCAGUAACUCUCUCUUUUGUUCUCACUGACCAUUUUGGCCAAACCUGAGUCUGAAGUGGACCUGAAUUUCAUGUGUGUUCAAAAACUUGCAGUGUAGUGUGUGAUUCCUGGCCACUUACAUUUGUAUUUCUCUUCAAGGUGCCCCUUACAGAGAGACAGUAGUCCAAUCUUCAUGGACAGGACACGGAUCUUCCCACUGCGUCCGCUGCCAAGACGGGUACAAUAAAUCAGUCAGCGUAAGGGCACAGGUAUGUUUAUGCACACAGAACGAGAUAGUGAGUAGGAGUGACAGAAAAUCAUUGUGAAUAUGGAAUGAUGGAUCACCCAUAUGUACGUGUAAAAAUAGCAGCAAAGCCCAGUGAAUAGGUCUUUAAUUAGAAAUUCAAUAUCAGGAAAUGACUAAUUAUUUGUAUUUUUUCCCUGUAAUCAAACAAUAGAUCAUUGUCCUAUUAUUAAAACCAACAAGCGUAUACUUUCUAAUCUCCUAAACAGACAUGCCAGACAUGGUGGUACAUACGUGUCGUAAACAUUGAGGAGCCAGUUGAGGCACAUGUCCACACACAGCGGGACAUUGACCAGGUCCUUGUGCUCCUGCUCCAGCCCGUCGUAGAUGGAGGUCAGGCAGUUAAUCACGUCCGGCACCGUCAUCAGGUGGUUGUUGUUGGUCAGUUUGUGCUGCGCAAAGGUGUUCUGAGCUACCGUCAAGUCCAGCAGGUCCAGCAGCUUCUUCCCAUCCUUCAGGUCUGAAAACAUGUCUUUGAUUGCCGUCUUUCCAGUCUGAGGAACGUAAACGUUAUAUUUUGACAUACUUUUGACAUGCAUUAUAUACAGUAUGUGGUAGAAUUACCUUUGAAAGCUGUGCGUUGAUCCAUUUGGUGAAGGUUUUCUUUUGUACCGAAUCAUGUUCAUCUGUGCACAACAAAUUAGACGUUAGAUGCGAGUUAGAGUUAACAGGUGCGUGAAUAGCAUUUCAGAUGCAAAGUAAAAAGAAAAGGAUUAUUUUUCUUUGACAACAAAA
This 1111-nucleotide long non-coding RNA is filed under the name Neogobius melanostomus (round goby). RNAcentral's name for it is "lncRNA (ENSNMLG00000007207.1)". Lineage: Eukaryota; Metazoa; Chordata; Actinopteri; Gobiiformes; Gobiidae. The record is from RNAcentral.